UUUAGCUCAUGAGUAUAUAAGCGCUUGUGGCAAGUGGCUCCUUCUUUUCCUUCGUCUUCAGCCACAGCCAGAUUCAGGUGCGAUUUAUGAGGUCCUUGCCGAGGCGGUCACGGGCGGUGCCGGAUGCUUCUAAUGUGACCAAGUGGCGAGUCAUUUUGUGGAGAUUUCCGCUAGGACUCCCAACAUUUCCGGUUGUGAUGGUGCGUCCGGUUGUCGACCCUGUGGCAGUCGACGACGCUAGUUUUACAUCGCCAGAAAUCGUGGUGAGCUGCGUGAGUUUAACCAGGUGGUGCAAGGUGGUACUACUCGCGGUGCCACGUGGUGCUUCGGGGCAUGAUCGGCUAAGUGACCUUUAGUAACCUCCAACCAUGUGCCAGGAAUAAUUCGAACCUUUGAUAAGCUACUGCUAUAGUUUUUUUACUUACGUUUUAUUCGUUAAAAAUUUAGAUAAGUUUGUGUGUUCUUAAUUUUAAUUUUAGUAUUAAAAAUUUGUCAUCCUUUUUAACCAACAAGAGUGUGAUUGAUACUUUGUAAUAAAGUAAUUUCAAUCUGUUA
This is a long non-coding RNA of Melitaea cinxia (Glanville fritillary), 555 nucleotides long. RefSeq lists it as uncharacterized. The transcript has 2 exons. The record is from RefSeq and is a predicted model, not a curated record. Lineage: Eukaryota; Metazoa; Arthropoda; Insecta; Lepidoptera; Nymphalidae.